UUUAAAUUUUUUAUAAAAAAUAUUUUGAUGGGAAAAAAAUGAAGUCAUGUAAUAAUAAACAUUUCUAAUUGAUGUAAAUUUAGUUUUAUUAAAAUUGAAUUGUUUUCAACAUAGAUGAGUGAAAGAAGAUUAAAUCAUGAUAAUCAUUGGUUUAGGGUUUGGGUACAUAUGUUAUAAUAUUGUUGGUAUUUAGGGUUAGAUUCUGAAAUAUUAUCUUUUGUUUUUUUUUUUAAAUUUUUUUGGACUUACAUUUGUUUAGUGACUAUCUAAUAACUUGAUUUAAACACUAUCUAAGUAUCAUAAAAGUUUAAGGAAGUGUUUUUUUUUAGUUAUUUGAUUAUAGGGCCUCAAAUUUUUUUUGUUUAGUUAUUUGAUUAUAGGGCCUGGAAGACUCACCGAAGACUGACAUAUCCCACCUAAAUUUUAGUAGAAUUUAGGGUUUCCGCCUAAAUUUUAAAAGAAUUUAGGGUUCCCGCCUAAAUUUUAAAAGAAUUUAGGUUUCCCGCCUAAAUCGAAGUCUUUCAUAAGUCUUCUAAGGGAAGUUUUCUCAUGUAUUAGAUCUUAAAAGUAAUUAAUAAAUUUUAUAAAAAAAUAUUUUGAAAGAGAAAACAUCAAAAUCAUGUAUUAAUAAACAUUUCUAAAUGAUGGAAAUUUAGUUUUACUUAAAUUGAAUUAUUUUUAACAUAGAUGAAUGAAUGUAGAUUGAGUCAUGAUAGCCUUCGGUUUAGGGUUUGGUAACAAAUGUUAUAGUAUUAUUGGUAUUUUUAUGAUUAGAUUUUGAAAUAUUAUCAUUUUAAAUUUUUUUUAGUUUGACAUAUAUGUGU
This 824-nucleotide long non-coding RNA is filed under the name Brassica rapa (field mustard). RNAcentral's name for it is "long non-coding RNA (BRAP_LNC004823)". The record is from RNAcentral. Lineage: Eukaryota; Viridiplantae; Streptophyta; Magnoliopsida; Brassicales; Brassicaceae.